RNAcentral lists this ribosomal RNA (492 nucleotides) under uncultured bacterium. RNAcentral describes it as "partial 16S ribosomal RNA". It matches the Rfam family "Bacterial small subunit ribosomal RNA", at positions 29 to 507 of the family's 1533-position model. The record is from RNAcentral.
AGUGAACGCUGGCGGUAGGCCUAACACAUGCAAGUCGAACGGCAGCACAGUAAGAGCUUGCUCUUACGGGUGGCGAGUGGCGGACGGGUGAGGAAUACAUCGGAAUCUACUUUUUCGUGGGGGAUAACGUAGGGAAACUUACGCUAAUACCGCAUACGACCUACGGGUGAAAGCAGGGGAUCUUCGGACCUUGCGCGAUUGAAUGAGCCGAUGUCGGAUUAGCUAGUUGGCGGGGUAAAGGCCCACCAAGGCGACGAUCCGUAGCUGGUCUGAGAGGAUGAUCAGCCACACUGGAACUGUGACACGGUCCAGACUCCUACGGGAGGCAGCAGUGGGGAAUAUUGGACAAUGGGCGCAAGCCUGAUCCAGCCAUAACGCGUGGGUGAAGAAGGCCUUCGGGUUGUAAAGCCCUUUUGUUGGGAAAGAAAAGCAGCAGGUUAAUACCCCGCUGUUCUGACGGUACCCAAAGAAUAAGCACCGGCUAACUUCGUG